AUCCAUCUGACGAGUCCCAAAUGCGACGAACCGCACGUCCUGGAU
RNAcentral lists this non-coding RNA (45 nucleotides) under Schistosoma haematobium. Lineage: Eukaryota; Metazoa; Platyhelminthes; Trematoda; Strigeidida; Schistosomatidae. The record is from RNAcentral. RNAcentral also lists the same sequence under 1 other name.